UCUGUCCUCCGAAGAUUGCUCUGCCAAACCAACAAACCCUCGCCACAAAUUCCUCUCCUCCACCCUUUCCCCUUGAACACGCCGCGUCCAUCCAAUCGCAACAACCUUUCUCUUUGGAUCUAUUAUUAAAGCCGUUUUGUUUCCCGGAUGAACCCGCCGAUCGAUCUCGCGAUGGUGAGUCUCUCAACCAUGAUUUGUGCCAAACGCCCGUUUGUUUAUGUGCAGGUUCCGGGUUGACGGAUGCGUUUUUCUUGCUGGGAUCAUGGGAUGAGCAUAUGCUCGAUCUGCGCAUGGAAACUUCAGAUCUCCCCGUUUGGCGAGCCGGAUCUGAACCGAUCUGUUUCGUCAAGGUGGAUCUGUAUUGUUCUCUGCGACGGCGGGUUCGAGUUCGUGGAGUGGCGAGGCGUUGGAUUCUUUGCCUGCAAGUUCGAGGGAUCCAGUCUUCAGUACCUCGUGCGACGAUCUCUUCUGUAUUGAUAAUUAUUCGAUGAUAUUUCGAUAAUUAUUAGAACUAAGAGACUGGAGGUGACGCCAAGGUAAGAACAUGUAACAAGCGAGGUGCUUGUGUCGAGGGAAAAAAUGAGCGAAAAAAGAGAGAUGUGACUUCCUAGAGGCCUUUGCCAUGUUGGGUGCGCUCGCAUGGCAGGCCGCCACCUUAAUAAAGAUGUUUCUUGUGUCCUGGGGGGAGAUCGCACGGGGGUUAUUUGUUUAGCCCCGGGUUCUCCUCCCCUUGUCGCCCGGUGUCCUUUUGUCUGCUCAUCUCAUCGAUCCGACUACCUGGAACACGACCGACAAAUCCGAAUCUACAAAGUUCUCCAAUCGCGAAACUGUCAUGGAUCUACCACGCAAAGAGCAAGGUACAAUCAACAAUUUACGUUUUCAAUAUAUAGAGCAAUAUAUGAAGUCAAGCUCAGAUCAUCGUUAUUUUCAACAUUAUUUCGAAGCAAGAGCAUUGUAAUUUAGUUGAACGUCAACGUAAUACAAAAUUACAUUGGUUACUGUGGUAUCAGAAUUGACAAUUGAUUGACUAUUGACUUAAAAACAUAUUCAGGUCAUUUGAUUCUUACAAAUAUAUGAUAUGAUACAGUAUUACCCAACUACCAAAUUUUGUACGUAUCAUUGAUGUUACUAAAUCUCACUAGCUUAGUUCUAUUUGAAUAGAAUUUACUCGAUGAUUGAACUAUCCGUUUUCAGAUAUAUGCGGGUCUACUUUGCUUCUUCAUGUAACCUACUAUGAUCGUAGUAGUAGUUACCUUAACACUGGGGUUAUUGUUGUCACCAUCCAUCGCUGAUGGGCUGUAUUGUUUGUUGAUUCCAUCAUUACAGAAUGUACUGUGUAUAUGUUGUGCUUUGGCACACAUAACAACAGUACGGUGCCUUUGUCGCUGUUAUUGCCUUCAUAUUAUAGUUACCUGAUCUUAAAGUUGUCUAGUAAAGACUUGUUUUGUAAGUUCAGUUGUUUUCAAAUGUCUUGUAUCCAUCUUCUAGCUUAUUGUAGACUGGAAGAUCACAACCGUAGACUGGAUAUCUGAAUGGAUGACAGGGGAGAUAAAUUCCUUAAACCGUUGAGGAAAUAUCGCGAAGAUGGCGCUACGUGCCACUUGCGAAGGUUCUGGCCGAUGCUGGAUAAGUUGUACUUGCAAAUGCAGGUUGCUGUUAUUGUCCUACGGAUUAUAUUUUUUCUGCAUCUGCGAUAUUGUUUUCUGGACUACCGGAUUGUAAGUUUAAUUCUUUUGGGCAACUAUUUAGUACCCCUCCGUCCCGAAAUAUUACAUGUAUCUAGUAGUAUUUUAGUAUAUUGGAUCUAUGCACUUUUAGACAAAUAUGAGUCAGUAAAAGCUUCAUAUGGUCGAUAGUUUUUGUUUUUAUACUUUGUUCCCCUGAACUGCUGUUAUGGUGGAUAGUUUUUGUUUUUGUACUUUGUUCCCCAGAACUGCUGUUAUAAAAAAUGGUUCACGCUC
Brachypodium distachyon (stiff brome) is the source of this 1961-nucleotide long non-coding RNA. RefSeq lists it as uncharacterized. The transcript has 2 exons. The record is from RefSeq and is a predicted model, not a curated record. Lineage: Eukaryota; Viridiplantae; Streptophyta; Magnoliopsida; Poales; Poaceae.